RNAcentral lists this non-coding RNA (70 nucleotides) under uncultured Longibaculum sp. Its description in RNAcentral is "Cyclic di-GMP-I riboswitch". It matches the Rfam family "c-di-GMP-I riboswitch aptamer", at positions 6 to 83 of the family's 87-position model. Rfam says of the family: GEMM was predicted in a large-scale screen for bacterial structured RNA regulatory elements. Genes associated with GEMM are involved in a diverse array of functions, including chemotaxis regulation, signal transduction, secretion and chitin. Lineage: Bacteria; Bacillati; Bacillota; Erysipelotrichia; Erysipelotrichales; Coprobacillaceae. The record is from RNAcentral.
UAUAUAGGCAAAACUAUUGAAAAGUAGUGACGCAAAGCUAAAGGGCCUCAUUAAUGUGGUAGCCAGUUGC